UUCUAGCGGCGGACGGGUGAGUAACGCGUGAGCAACCUGGCCUUUAACAGGGGGAUAACGCAUCGAAAGAUGUGCUAAUACCGCAUAAGACCACGGUUUCACAUGGGACAGGGGUCAAAGGAGCAAUCCGGUUAAAGAUGGGCUCGCGUCCGAUUAGCUAGUUGGUGAGAUAACAGCCCACCAAGGCGACGAUCGGUAGCCGACCUGAGAGGGUGAUCGGCCACAUUGGAACUGAGAUACGGUCCAGACUCCUACGGGAGGCAGCAGUGGGGAAUAUUGGGCAAUGGGCGAAAGACCCUGACCCAGCAACGCCGCGUGAGGGAAGAAGGGUUCCGGCUCGUAAACCUCUGUCCUGUGGGACGAAGGAAGUGACGGUACCACAGGAGGAAGCCCCGGCUAACUACGUGCCAGCAGCUGC
Molecule: ribosomal RNA, 418 nt
Filed under: uncultured bacterium
Lineage: Bacteria
Description: bacterial SSU rRNA
Rfam family: Bacterial small subunit ribosomal RNA
Source: RNAcentral